Long non-coding RNA from Octopus bimaculoides (California two-spot octopus), 1986 nucleotides. RefSeq lists it as uncharacterized. The record is from RefSeq and is a predicted model, not a curated record. NCBI's taxonomy places the organism in Eukaryota, Metazoa, Mollusca, Cephalopoda, Octopoda, Octopodidae.
AUAUAUAUAUAUAUAUAUAUAUAUGAGUCUGCUGGUAUGAACUGAUAGGUCGGCAUGUAACAUCUUAAGGUGCUGGCAUGGCUGUGUGGUUAAGAAGCUCACUUUCCAACCACAUGGUUUCUGGUUCAGUCCCAUUGUGCAGUAUCUUGAAUCAUUAAAAUGGAAUGUCAAGUUAAGAAAGGCGAGUAUUUUCGACACCUCCUUUUUGCUGCACGACAACGACCGCUCUCAUAUCACUAAUAUGACCAAGGAAGCCAUUCAAACACAUGGCUGGGAAGUGCUGUCACACUCGCUGUACUCUCCUGAUUUGGCACCAACGGAUUUCCACCUUUUUCUAUCUCUUUCAAAUGUUAUGCGCGGAGCUUCGUCCAAUGCUGAUGCAGAAUUGAGAGCUUGGUUGGAUCAAUUUUGCGGGUCGAAAUCGGGUGAUUUCUACCAACGAGGUAUUGAAAAUCCUGUUGAAUGUUGGGAAGAAGUUGUAAACAUCUCCAUAAGUUCGGUCUUGUGAGCAGAUGCUGCCGAGAAGCUUCUCGUGAAUUGACCAAUAAUCAGGCUCAACAACAAAUGAACAUCUUGAAACUACUGGCAAAUCCUCAAGAUGCUCGUUUUUGGUGUCGAAUUAUAACCGAGGAUGAAAAAAAUCCUAAUAAGAGAAAUCAGCGGCUUCGUUCAGGCCAGGCUUCAAAAGCUUAUGUCAAAUGAGGAUGGUUUGAACAGAAGGUCAUUUUGAGUGUAUGGUGGAACUUCGAUGGCUAUGAUGUGAACACUAACCUUUAUGUUCAACGACUGCAGCAAAUAUAUGAUGCUUUGAAAGUUCGCAACCCGGCAUUGGUCAAUCGAACACGUGCACUCACGCAGCAUGACAAUGUUCCAACAGACACUGCGAAUAUGAUCGAACACAAGCUUGAAGGGCUGAAAGUGCUGCCCUACCCUGCCUACAAUCCAAACCUUGUACCAUCGGUUUAUUACCUUUUCCGAGCCAUGGCUCAUUUCCUGCAGGGAGGAAUGUUCAACAAUGUGGAUGAGGUUGAAAACGAAUGCAGGAAGUUUUUUUUUUGCCUCCAAACAAGCUAAAUGGUAUAAAAGUAGAAUUGAAUUGAUGGCACCACGAUGGCUACAGACAAUAGUAUAUGAAGGGAUAUAUUUUGAUGAAUAAACGCUUUUCGUGUUUAGUUUGUUUGAACUGUUAAUUAAGUUUGAAAUAGGAAGAAAAAACUUUUGACUCAAUCAGAUAUAUAUGCGCAGUAUAGCUGAAUGUUUAAACAGUUCGCUUCGCGUGGUAUCUUGGGCAAAUGUCAUUUCCUAUAGCCUCGAGUAGACCCAUAUCUUGUAAGCGAAAUUGGAUGCACGAAAAGUGUAUAGAAGUUUGGCGGGUGGUAUAGCCUUGUUAUACACUGUAUCGCGCUGAUUUUGCCGGAGAAUUACACGGUAAUUCAGGAGCAGAUUAUUCAGUUGAUCGAGCAACUGAAUGUUCAUCGCGAACGACGGAGAACCAACAUCGUUAUAUAUAUAUAUAUAUAUGUAACCUCGUGGGCAUCGGUGCCGAUUUUUUCUUCCUCCGUUUUUCCAUUCUUUGAACUUUCCGUCUUUCCGACGAAGGGCUCCGCCCGAAACGUCAUACUUUCUCUUUCCUUUCCCGAGCGUCUAAUAACACUAUCCGUAUCACGUCCUCACUUUGUUGUUUUUUGUUAUUGUUUUUUGAACUUAUAUAUAUAAUGGAUUUACAAAUACAAUAUUCCUACAUUCACUCUCUAUUUCCUAUCUUAUCUAAACUAACUAUUGCUUAACCAUCCUCUCACACCGUCUCCGAUGAAGGGAUAUAAUAAAUAUCCUGGAAACAGCUGUAAGACCUAUUUAUAAAUGUUCUAUAUUAUACACAACCUUGGUUUUUUUUAUUUUUUAUCUCAUUACAAAAAGUAAAUCCGGCAUACUAUUCCUUUCAGCCAUUUCUGAAGAUUGCCGGAGUUGAUUCUAAAGUUUUGGUGU